Molecule: long non-coding RNA, 377 nt
Organism: Magallana angulata
Lineage: Eukaryota; Metazoa; Mollusca; Bivalvia; Ostreida; Ostreidae
Exons: 3
Source: RefSeq, a predicted model, not a curated record
UUUUUUGCUAACAAAAAUUUCUUAAAUAUACAGUAUAUCUUACAACACAUGAAACGGACAUUUUCAAUGGCGAUCAAAUAAUAUAGAAAAAUUACUAUAAUGGUCCUCCAUAGAAAAAAAAUAGUCUUUAACGUAUAUGACCGGAUGCAACAAAUUGAAAGUAGCAAUGUCAAAGAAACCGCUCAAGCUCACAACAGCCUCUGAAAACGGAUUUUAAGGUCAAAUGAUGCAAAACAAGUGGUUCAAACAAGAGCUGUGAAUUCCAACCAAUGAAAUAGAUAGAAUCACACUUCGUGGAUAAGUUACCCAGAGGGACAAAGAAUUUAAAAUAAUUAGUUAGAACCUUUAAAUAAUGGCAUUUUCAUCUCUAAACGGAU